CACUCCUAUGAGAUCGGAAAAUAGGUUUAAUUAUUAGGUUUUGAUCUAGGAGUACAACCAUAUUUACAAACACAAUACCUCUGCCCCUUCCCCUGCAAAAUGAAAUGAUCUCACUGAAUAAAUGAUUUAAAGGAUUGUAUCUCAAAGCAGUCAACUUGUCAAUGUAUCAGUUUGGAUCUAUCAAACACUACUGCAUGUCUCCGGCACUAGGGAAAAGAACAUGAAGAAUUGGUGGUGUCUUUAUAAACCUCAAGGUUCAGGUUGAUCCGUUCUCUGAAUGGAUGAA
Molecule: long non-coding RNA, 286 nt
Organism: Telopea speciosissima
Lineage: Eukaryota; Viridiplantae; Streptophyta; Magnoliopsida; Proteales; Proteaceae
Exons: 2
Source: RefSeq, a predicted model, not a curated record